AGAGUUUGAUCCUGGCUCAGGACGAACGCUUGCGGCGUGCCUAAGAAAUGCAAGUCGAACGGUGUAGCAAUACAUAGUGGCGAACGGUCGCGUAACACGUAAGCAACCUGCCCGAAAGUGGGGGACAACAUCUCGAAAGGGGUGCUAAUACCGCAUGUGGUUGUUUUCUCGCAUGAGAGAACAUCUAAAGCCUUGUGCGCUUUCGGAUGGGCUUGCGGCCUAUCAGGUAGAUGGUGGGGUAACGGCCUACCAUGCCUUUGACGGGUAGCUGGUCUGAGAGGAUGUCCAGCCGGAUUGGGACUGAGAUACGGCCCAGACUCCUACGGGGGGCAGCAAUUAGGAAUCUUGCACAAUGGGGGAAACCCUGAUGCAGCGACGCCGCGUGAGGGAUGACGGAUUUCGGUCUGUAAACCUCUUUUAUCGGGGACGAUACUGACGGUACCCCGCGAAGAAGCCUCGGCUAACUCCGUGCCAGCCGCCGCGGUAAUAC
RNAcentral lists this ribosomal RNA (490 nucleotides) under uncultured bacterium. RNAcentral's name for it is "bacterial SSU rRNA". It matches the Rfam family "Bacterial small subunit ribosomal RNA", at positions 8 to 526 of the family's 1533-position model. The record is from RNAcentral.